GCUGCCUAGUCAGUUCUGCGUCCGCUGAGGCUCGGUCACCGCCUCGCUGUCGUCGCGGCGCCCCCGCCCCGUCCUCUGUCCGUACCGCCCCCGGAGCCAGGGCCGAGUCCUCGCCAUGCCGGCCCGGCGGCUGCUGCUGCUGCUGACGCUGCUGCUGCCCGGCCUCGGGAUUUUUGGAAGUACCAGCACAGUGACGCUUCCUGAAACCUUGUUGUUUGUGUCAACGCUGGAUGGAAGUUUGCAUGCUGUCAGCAAGAGGACAGGCUCAAUCAAAUGGACUUUAAAAGAAGGUAAUUUGGAUUUGGUCCUUGGGCGACAUGGACAUUUGCUUAACUGGUUCCACAGAAACAUAUUCUGGAGAAAGAGAAAACAUUACUCAUUAUCUAAUAAAAUAAAUAAGAAAUAAAGAAGAAUGGGAUCAAGAGAGGAAAAGGCAUUCUGCUCAAAGGACGUUUAUAGCUUUGCUGUGGUUAUCCACUAAGUGCAUCAGUUAAAGAAGCACGUUUUAUCUUCUUUUUUGCUU
This 523-nucleotide long non-coding RNA is filed under the name Homo sapiens (human). RNAcentral's name for it is "non-protein coding lnc-TEX2-3:1". The record is from RNAcentral. Lineage: Eukaryota; Metazoa; Chordata; Mammalia; Primates; Hominidae.